RNAcentral lists this ribosomal RNA (243 nucleotides) under uncultured bacterium. RNAcentral describes it as "partial 16S ribosomal RNA". It matches the Rfam family "Bacterial small subunit ribosomal RNA", at positions 529 to 771 of the family's 1533-position model. The record is from RNAcentral.
AGGGGGCUAGCGUUGUUCGGAUUUACUGGGCGUAAAGCGCACGUAGGCGGAUUGGUCAGUUAGGGGUGAAAUCCCGGAGCUCAACUCCGGAACUGCCUUUAAUACUGCCAGUCUAGAGUCCGAGAGAGGUGAGUGGAACUCCUAGUGUAGAGGUGGAAUUCGUAGAUAUUAGGAAGAACACCAGUGGCGAAGGCGGCUCACUGGCUCGGUACUGACGCUGAGGUGCGAAAGCGUGGGGAGCAA